Molecule: ribosomal RNA, 472 nt
Filed under: uncultured bacterium
Lineage: Bacteria
Description: partial 16S ribosomal RNA
Rfam family: Bacterial small subunit ribosomal RNA
Source: RNAcentral
GACGAACGCUGGCGGCGUGCUUAACACAUGCAAGUCGAACGCUGAAGCUUGGUGCUUGCACUGGGUGGAUGAGUGGCGAACGGGUGAGUAAUACGUGAGUAACCUGCCCUUGACUCUGGGAUAAGCCUGGGAAACUGGGUCUAAUACUGGAUACGACAUGUCACCGCAUGGUGGCGUGUGGAAAGGGUUUUACUGGUUUUGGAUGGGCUCACGGCCUAUCAGCUUGUUGGUGGGGUAAUGGCUCACCAAGGCGACGACGGGUAGCCGGCCUGAGAGGGUGACCGGCCACACUGGGACUGAGACACGGCCCAGACUCCUACGGGAGGCAGCAGUGGGGAAUAUUGCACAAUGGGCGAAAGCCUGAUGCAGCGACGCCGCGUGAGGGAUGACGGCCUUCGGGUUGUAAACCUCUUUCAGCACGGAUGAAGCGAAAGUGACGGUACGUGCAGAAGAAGCGCCGGCUAACUACGUG